Molecule: long non-coding RNA, 1483 nt
Organism: Pangasianodon hypophthalmus (striped catfish)
Lineage: Eukaryota; Metazoa; Chordata; Actinopteri; Siluriformes; Pangasiidae
Exons: 4
Source: RefSeq, a predicted model, not a curated record
AAUAUUUGUUAGCUGCAUCGGACACCAAACAUGUCUUAGCUAAUUGAAGACAUAUGGGUGAACCGAAGUCCUCCUUUAACUCUUAACUUACACAGCUCUUCCUCCUCACUUCUAAAGCUCUUUAAAUAAAGCCACUUGCCAAAUAAAUGAAACAAAUAUUGAAUAUAGAUAAAAACGUUAAAACAGCAGAAAGCUGUUUUAUUUGCUUUCACCUACUAACAACCUGGUAUGAGAGGACGUUAAAAAUAACAGCUUUCUAUUUUAUUUUUAGCAAGAAUUUUUUAUAAUAUGAGGUUUUGGAAAGUAAAAACAGUCUAAAUAAACAUUUUGUAGUUUUAUAUAUAGUGUGUGUCAUUUUCUCUUCCUGUCUCACAUGCUAUCUGUACAGUAGGCAACUGUUAGAGCACACGGUAUCAAUUUAGAGCUCAUUACGACACCACAUGCCAGAUGGACGCUGAUAUGUUUCAGUCAGUAUCUGUAUUUAUUUCAAGAUAAGCUCAAAGAAAUUUGCUUUGAUCUUGAACACACUGUAAUGCAGUGAUCAGUGCUAAUCUCUAAUGUUGACCUAACAACAAAUCUGCAAUGUGCUGAAAAUGCUGCAAGGUUUUCACUACAAGCUUAUCUGCUUUAAUCCUAAGACAUUCAGACAUACUGGGUGAUGGAUGGCAUGUUAAAGAAAUAUAAAAUAAAAGAAUACCAUUAAUAUGGUUCUAUUCUGCUCUGUUCUAUUCGUCUUCAGAAAAAUUCCUUCUUUAUGUAACACAUUUUGAUAUGCAAAUGAGUAUAAAGAUUCAACGAAUACACAAAUUAGUCUGUGAUGUCUUGUGGGAACUUUUUGAACAUGUAGCAGCUCCUUUUCCCAGAAAAGCACUCGUCACGCUGGCAAGAUCACACAAACAGGAGGCACGACGUAAACAAGUUUGUUUUUUUGCAGGAUAUCGGCAAAGAAAAGCAAAAGGCCACAUAAUGACAUCACUGUAUUAUCUUUUAGGGAUUAGAUAUACGAUACCUGCGACAGUAUAACCGAACCCUGACUGACACCUUCCCAGAACCUCCAGUUUUAAUAGCAGCUUGGUCUUUAUGAUGCUAUUUACUUAGAUCCAACUCCAUUCAACAAGUAAUGUCACUUCUGAUGGAUACUGGAAACUAAUUUCACGGGAUUCACAGCAACAGGAAAGCAAUCAAAACGUUUACAUUUUGCAAUUUGUAAACAGUUUUGCAAACUAUACUGCCUUUUAACCUGACGCCACCGCCACCGUGCUUCACUGUGCUCUCCAGAUUCAAGACAUAAAUUCGCAGUUAAGUCCAUUUCAGUUCCAGGCUGUAACGCUACAAAAUGUGGAAAGGACGACUCUGCUGGAGCAGGCGGACAGGUUACAUGUGCGGACCGGAACCGAGCGCUGCGGAACCGGGAGCCGAACCUGCCGAACCUGCCGGACCAGGUGCCUCUGGAGGUGCCGAGCAAGCACUGUUAGGGCCACCA